This 253-nucleotide ribosomal RNA is filed under the name uncultured bacterium. RNAcentral's name for it is "partial 16S ribosomal RNA". It matches the Rfam family "Bacterial small subunit ribosomal RNA", at positions 524 to 776 of the family's 1533-position model. The record is from RNAcentral.
UACGGAGGGUGCAAGCGUUAUCCGGAUUCACUGGGUUUAAAGGGUGCGUAGGUGGGUUGGUAAGUCAGUGGUGAAAUCUCCGAGCUUAACUUGGAAACUGCAUUCGAUACUGCCGUGCUUGAGGACUGGAGAGGAGACUGGAAUUUACGGUGUAGCGGUGAAAUGCGUAGAUAUCGUAAGGAAGACCAGUGGCGAAGGCGGGUCUCUGGACAGUUCCUGACGCUGAGGCACGAAGGUCAGGGGAGCAAACGGG